Molecule: RNase P RNA, 343 nt
Filed under: Chloroflexota bacterium
Lineage: Bacteria; Bacillati; Chloroflexota
Description: Chloroflexi bacterium RNase P RNA component class A
Rfam family: Bacterial RNase P class A
About the family: Ribonuclease P (RNase P) is a ubiquitous endoribonuclease, found in archaea, bacteria and eukarya as well as chloroplasts and mitochondria.
Source: RNAcentral
CGAGAUGGCCGGACGGCCGCGACGCCACUUUCGGGUGGCGCCGAGGAAAGUCCGGGCUCCAAGGUGUAAAGGCAGCGGGUAACGCCCGUCCGCCGCAAGGCGCGGACUAGUGCCACAGAGACGAGUCCACCCGAGCCUCGGUUCGCGGUGGGGUGAAACGCGGCAAACUCUGCCUGGAGCAAGGUCGAAUAGGGAGGCAUCCUGGUCGUUCGCGACCAGGCCGGCACACCGCCGGGACCUCCGGGUUGACCGCUAGAGCCGUCGAGCGAUCGACGGACAAGAUGGAUGGCCGCCCAGCCCCGCAAGGGGGGGACAGAACCCGGCUUAUAGGCCAUCUCGCCGG